ACCUCUGGAGAAUCCCGGCCGACCGGGUGCCGAAGGGGCAAGGCGAGCGGCAGUGACGAGUUGCUGCGCAUCGCCGAAACUCUCAGGCAAAAGGACAGAGAGC
This 103-nucleotide non-coding RNA is filed under the name chicken gut metagenome. Its description in RNAcentral is "Glycine riboswitch". It matches the Rfam family "Glycine riboswitch aptamer", at positions 9 to 86 of the family's 94-position model. Rfam says of the family: This family represents the bacterial glycine riboswitch. Glycine riboswitches usually consist of two metabolite-binding aptamers domains with similar structures in tandem. The record is from RNAcentral.